RNAcentral lists this non-coding RNA (30 nucleotides) under Mus musculus (house mouse). The record is from RNAcentral. Lineage: Eukaryota; Metazoa; Chordata; Mammalia; Rodentia; Muridae.
ACCAGAAACAAGGAAAACCCUCAACUUCUC